This 415-nucleotide ribosomal RNA is filed under the name Pelophylax nigromaculatus (dark-spotted frog). Its description in RNAcentral is "partial 12S rRNA". It matches the Rfam family "Bacterial small subunit ribosomal RNA", at positions 858 to 1445 of the family's 1533-position model. The record is from RNAcentral. Lineage: Eukaryota; Metazoa; Chordata; Amphibia; Anura; Ranidae.
CACCAACCAACGCCAGGGAAUUACGAGCUAUGCUUAAAACCCAAAGGACUUGACGGUGUCCCACCCACCUAGAGGAGCCUGUUCUAUAAUCGAUGAUCCCCGAUACACCUAACCAUUCCUCGCCCAUCAGUCUGUAUACCUCCGUCGAAAGCCUACCAUGUGAACGCUUACAGUAGGCCCAAUGAUCCUCAUCAACACGUCAGGUCAAGGUGCAGCUUACGGAAUGGAAAGCAAUGGGCUACAAUUUCUAGUUUAGAACAAACGAAAGACUCUGUGAAACCUUAGUCAUGAAGGCGGAUUUAGUAGUAAAAGGAAAAUAGAGUGUUCCUUUUAACCUGGCUCUGGGACGCGUACACACCGCCCGUCACCCUCUUCGAUAGCACUUCACCCAGGUAUUUAACCAAUACCGCAUCUU